UCCGGCUUAUCACCGGCAGUUUCUUUAGAGUGCUCAACUAAAUGGUAGCAACUAAAGACGAGGGUUGCGCUCGUUGCGGGACUUAACCCAACGUCUCACGACACGAGCUGACGACAGCCAUGCAGCACCUGUGCACGAGCUCCGAAGAGGGGCCCCUGUUUCCAGAGGCUUUCUCGUACAUGUCAAGCCUAGGUAAGGUUCUUCGCGUUGCGUCGAAUUAAACCACAUGCUCCACCGCUUGUGCGGGCCCCCGUCAAUUCCUUUGAGUUUCAGCUUUGCGGCCGUACUCCCCAGGCGGGGCACUUAAUGCGUUAGCGCCGGCACCCAGGGGGUCGCUCCCCCAGGCACCUAGUGCCCAUCGUUUACGGCGUGGACUAC
RNAcentral lists this unclassified non-coding RNA (378 nucleotides) under uncultured bacterium. RNAcentral describes it as "contains 16S-23S intergenic spacer region". The record is from RNAcentral.